AAGAUCUAGCGGCGAACGGGUGAGUAACACGUGAGAAACCUGCCCCGAACUUUGGGAUAACAGUUGGAAACGACUGCUAAUACCGAAUGCCGUUACGAAGUGGCAUCACUAUGUAACGAAAGAAUUUCGGUUCGGGAGAAUCUCGCGGCCUAUCAGCUUGUUGGUGAGGUAACGGCUCACCAAGGCUACGACGGGUAGCUGGUCUGAGAGGAUGAUCAGCCACACUGGGACUGAGACACGGCCCAGACUCC
This 251-nucleotide ribosomal RNA is filed under the name uncultured bacterium. RNAcentral's name for it is "partial 16S ribosomal RNA". It matches the Rfam family "Bacterial small subunit ribosomal RNA", at positions 87 to 339 of the family's 1533-position model. The record is from RNAcentral.